GAUGAACGCUGGCGGCGUGCCUAAUACAUGCAAGUCGAGCGAACGGACGAGAAGCUUGCUUCUCUGAUGUUAGCGGCGGACGGGUGAGUAACACGUGGAUAACCUCCCUAUAAGACUGGGAUAACUUCGGGAAACCGGAGAUAAUACCGGAUAAUAUUUUGAACCGCAUGGUUCAAAAGUGAAAGACGGUCUUGCUGUCACUUAUAGAUGGAUCCGCGCUGCAUUAGCUAGUUGGUAAGGUAACGGCUUACCAAGGCAACGAUGCAUAGCCGACCUGAGAGGGUGAUCGGCCACACUGGAACUGAGACACGGUCCAGACUCCUACGGGAGGCAGCAGUAGGGAAUCUUCCGCAAUGGGCGAAAGCCUGACGGAGCAACGCCGCGUGAGUGAUGAAGGUCUUCGGAUCGUAAAACUCUGUUAUUAGGGAAGAACAUAUGUGUAAGUAACUGUGCACAUCUUGACGGUACCUAAUCAAAAAGCCACGGCUAACUACGUG
Molecule: ribosomal RNA, 497 nt
Filed under: uncultured bacterium
Lineage: Bacteria
Description: partial 16S ribosomal RNA
Rfam family: Bacterial small subunit ribosomal RNA
Source: RNAcentral